UCCUAUUUUUUAGCUGACAGAAUCUUCUGCAUUCCUCUCUAAUUUUUUCCUCACAAAGGCUUACUCCUACACUAUGUAACAGGUCAUAUAUCACUCACUCAUACACACGAAUUAGACUACAACUUUCAAAGAUCUUUCAUUUUUCUCCACCCUCAUUUUCAGUACAAAAGCUUCUGAAAUUCCAGUCCUAAAAGCUCUACAAAAAACUAAGAGAUAAAAGGUUCAAGACUUUUUUCUGAGUUUAAAUCUUGUGCUACAAGUUCUGGGUUUAUAGAUGUUGAGGUCAAAGAAGAGUCGCUAUUUUGUUGGAAUUGAAGUUCAGAUUGCUCCUUGUUUCCAUGUUGCUAUUUCACUACUAGUAGGUGCGUUUAUCCAUCUUGUUACUUUCUACUUGAACUAUAAAUAAAAUUAGAUUGUUUAUGAUAUACUCUUGCAAUUAUCCUAAUUUCAACAUGUUUAAUGUCUAAAUUUGUUGUGGUUUCAUACUUAUUAAUCCGUGCAAUUGUUGGAAUGUUAAAAUUAUGUGAGUUGUUUGUAGAAUGUUAAUAGGUGAUUUAACAACUGUUUGAAUGUCAUUCUGUUCUUUUUUUUUUCUUUACUUUCUUUCUGAAAUGUGCGUGAGUUUCAUUAUGUUUACUUCAUUGUGAAGUGAUGUAUGAAUUUGGUUCAUAUUUUCUUUCAAUUUGCUCAGCAUAGUAUUUUUAACAAGUGAGUAUAGCUUUGUAGUUAUUCUGUCACAAAGCUUUACAAGCCAAGAGGAUCAUGAGAUGUGGCGAUUACAGAGAACUAGUUGUUCAUUUGAAUAUGUAACUAGCUUAAAGCAUCAUCAUAAUAUGUAUCCUAUAAUAGAUUUUCAGAUGUAUGAAUCAAUUGUCAAUUGUAUUUAAAUCUAGCAUUAGUUCAGUUUGUUGAAAGUAUUUAAUCAUGGUUCA
Molecule: long non-coding RNA, 932 nt
Filed under: Nicotiana tabacum (common tobacco)
Lineage: Eukaryota; Viridiplantae; Streptophyta; Magnoliopsida; Solanales; Solanaceae
Description: long non-coding RNA (NTAB_LNC010975)
Source: RNAcentral